UACAGAGGUCUCAAGCGUUGUUCGGAUUCAUUGGGCGUAAAGGGUGCGUAGGCGGCGCGGUAAGUCGGGUGUGAAAUCUCGGGGCUUAACUCCGAAACUGCAUUCGAUACUGCCGUGCUUGAGGACUGGAGAGGAGACUGGAAUUUACGGUGUAGCGGUGAAAUGCGUAGAUAUCGGAAGGAACGCCGGUGGCGAAAGCGCACGACUGGUCCUCUUCUGACGCUGAGGCGCGAAAGCCAGGGGAGCAAACGGG
Molecule: ribosomal RNA, 253 nt
Filed under: uncultured bacterium
Lineage: Bacteria
Description: partial 16S ribosomal RNA
Rfam family: Bacterial small subunit ribosomal RNA
Source: RNAcentral